CCGCGGCCGAGCCGCCGCCGAGCCAGCCGGCCCCGCCCCUGCACUCCGCUGAUAGGCGGCGGCGGCAGCGGCGGUGCGUCGGUCGUGCCCGGGUCUGGGCGGUGGUGCUCCGGGGGCAGGGCGGUCGGGACCCCGGCCGGCGCCGAAAAGCCUCGCGGCCCACGCUCCUGAGCUCCAGCCUCCACCUCCCUACUCGUUACAUCUCUGGGACGCCCACCUGGCGUACAGGGGCCGAGGGAGUGGCCGGAGGCUGAGGCUGGGGACUUGCGGGUAGGGGUUAUCAUAUGUGGGAAAAAAUAGCAGGAACUCUAUGUCCGGUAGACUCCUCUGGACCUGGCCCUAGAUUCUAGGGAGUUAAGAUUUUGAGAUGUGUUUAGCCACAUCGGGUGUCCUCACUAUUCACUGAAGCCCAGCGCCCUGGGCAUCCUCAAGAGUACGGCAUUUUAAGGAAACGUCGGGAGGAUCUUUGCACAGGCCUCGAUUAUUCAGGGAAGUGAAGUCACAGAGUAAACUGCUGUCCCCAAAUUGGAGCAACAAGAAGGCACAGAGAAUCACAACUUACCAGACCAGAAACCUCUGCAGCAACCUUGGCCAGGGUAGGACCACCUAAACUGUAAUUGAUGAAUCUGGAGGCAUAGUGUGGACAACUCUGAGAGUUGAAAACUGCAGGAGAAUCUAGUCACGGGAGACCCCCACACUUUGGUGAAUUUUACCUUCAGGAGCUCUUACCAGGUGCUCACAGUUAAUAUUGGAGAAAAAUACCCAGUGUUUCCAGCAGGAGGAGGGGAAAAGGAACUAUUUCAACAUUCACCAGAGAAUUCUGCUUUUCUUAAGAAGACAGGCCCUCAAGAGAAACUAUUUCAUCAGAGCCUAACCUUAGUGGGGGAAGGCAAUUCUCAACAUCAGCCAGCUCUAGCCUUCCACCCGGGAGAAGGGAAAACACCAUUUGGAGCUCAUUUAGCCAUGUAGGGAGAGAGAAAUGCGUUACUCCAGCUAUCCUGUCCCAUCCCUGGGGAGUGAAAAGGUAGGGACUAAAAAGCAUUGGUGAAGUUCAUGGCCCAGAGCUACCAGCUCACUGAGAAACUGAGCCCUAAUCAUAGGACUGUAGGAUGCCUCCCCCUAACAACCACAUACCAUACCGCUACAUUACUGAAGACCUGAUUACCAAACUUCUUUAGCCUAGUGCAUCAUGUCUGCCUUUCAACAAAAAAUUACAAGGCAUGCUAAGAGACAAAAAAUACAGUUUGAAGAGACUGAGCAAUUAUGAGAACUAGAGUCAGAUAUGUAAGGAAUGUUGGAAUUACCAGAUGAGGAAUUUAAAAAAACAACUAUGAUUAAUAUGCUCAGGAUUUUAAUGGAAAAAGUAGACAACAUGCAAGAAUAAAUGGAUAUUGUAAGCAGAGAGGUGGAAAAUCUAAGACUAAAAUAUUAGGUCAAAAAUACUGUAACAGAAACAAAGAAUGUCUUUGAUGGGCUCAUUAUUGGACUGGACACGGCUGAGGAAAGAAUCUCUGAACUGAAGGAUGUGACAAUAGAACAUUUCAAAAUUGAAGAGUAAAGAGGAAAAAAAAAAAUGAGAAAAGCAGAACAGAACAUGCAAAAACUGUGGACACCUACGAAAGCAUACAUGUAAUGUGAAUACUAGAUGGAGAAAAAAGAAAAGAGAAGCAAUAUUUGAGGCAAGAAUGACUGAGAAUUUCCUCUAAUUGAAAUCAGACAGACACUGGAUCACAGAACCAGGAAGCUUAGAGAGUACCAAGCAGGAUAAAUGUCAAAAAAAACCCUCCUAUGCCUAGGCAGAAUAUAUUCAAACUUCAGAAAAUCAACGAUAAAGAGAAUAAUCUUGAAAGAAGCCAGAGGAAAAAAACACCUUACCUAUAGAAGAGCAAGGGUAAGGAUCACAUUCUUUUAACUUUCAACCUUGCAGAAAGUAUGGAAGCAAAAAAGUUGAGUAGAAUGUUUAAAAUAUUGAGGGAAAACCCCCACCAACUUUGAGUUCGGAAACUUGUGAAAUUUCUUCAAAAGUGAAGGAGAAAUACUUUCUCAAACAGAAAUUAGCGGAAUUUGUUACUAAUAGCCCUGCCUUGCAUGAAAUGUUAAAAGAAGUCUUUAGAGAAAAGGAAAUGGUACAUAUCAGAAGCUGAUGUACAUAAAUAAAGGAAGAGCUUUGGAGAAAAAAUAAGUGAAGGUAGAAUAGAAACUUUUAUUUAUACUUAAUUGAUUUAAUAGUUUUUGGUUCAAAAUGAUAGCAGUAGAUUCAGUUUGUGUGUAUGUGUGUGUGUGUGUAUGCUUAAUGUAUGCUUAGGUAUAAGUGAAAUGAAUGAAGGUAAUGAUAUAAGGGAUGGGAGAAAAGAAUUAGGAAUAUUUUUAUUCUAAGGUAUUUGCGCUGUGAAGGAGUACAGUAUUAUUUGAAAGUGGAUUUAGAUAACUUGUAAAUAUAUACAGGCCUACCUUAGAGGUAUUGUAGGUUUGGUUCCAGACUGCUAUAACAAAGCAAAUAUCAAAAAAUGAUUUUUUUUAAUUUCCUGGUGCAUGUAAUCAUUGUGUUUAAACCAUACUGUGGUCUAUUAGUGUGCAGUACCAUUAUUCCUAAAAAUAUAUACAUACCUUAAUUACAAACUACUUUAUUGCUAAAAAAUGUUACCAUCUGAGCUUUCCAUGAGUUGUAAUCCGUGAUCACCGUAACAAAUAUAUUAACAGUGGAAGUAUUUGAAAUGUUAAGAGGAUUACCAAAAUGUGACAGAGAGACGCAGAGUAAGUAAAUGCUGUUGGAAAAAUGGUACCCGUAGACUGGCUCAAAAUACAGUUGCUAUGAAACUUUAAUUUGCAAAAAACACAGUAUCUGUGAAGUACAGUAAAGCAAAGCACAAUAAAACGGGAUUUACCUGUAUUGCAAAGUCUAGAGUAAUCAGUAAAGUUAAAAGAAAGUAUCAUUGGUAAGAGCGGAAAGGGAAUAUAAAGUAUUCAAAUUCACAAAAGGCAAAAAAAGUAUGGAAGUCAAAAGUGAGAACUAAGACAAGGGCAACAAGUAGAAAACAGUAACAAAUAUGGGGCACCUGGGUGGCUCAGUCGGUUGGGCGGCCGACUACAGAUCAGGUCAUGAUCUUGCAGUCGGUGAGUUCGAGCCCCACAUCAGGCUCUGUGCUGACAGCUCAGAGCCUGGAGCCUGCUUCCGAUUCUGUGUCUCCCUCUCUCUCUGCCCCUUCCCUGCUUGCUCUCUGUCUCUCUCUCUCAAAAAUAAUAAACAUUAAAAAAAAUUUUUUUUAGAAACAGUAGCAAAUAUGUGUAGAAGUCCAUCUAUAACAAUUUCCUCUAAAUACAUCAUUUAAAAGACAGAUUAUUAGGGUGGAUCAAAAACAAGACCCCAGUAUAUGUUGCCUACCAGAAACUCACUUUAAAAACACAUGUAGAUUGGGGUGUUUGCGUGGCUCCGUUUGUUGAGCAUCUGACUUCGGCUCAGGUCAUGAUCUCACAGUUGGUGGGUUUGAGCCCUGCCUCAGGCUCUGUGCAACAUCCCAGAGCUUGGAGCCUGCUUCGGCUUCUGUGUCUCCCUCUCUCUCUGCCCCUCUCCUGCUCACACUCUGUGUGUCUCUCAAGGAUAAAUAAACAUUAAAAAUUUUUUUGUAAAGAAAAAUAUGUGUAGAUUAAAAGUAGAGGGAUAGGGGCGCCUGGGUGGCUCAGUCCGUUAAGCGUCUGACUUCAGCUCAGGUCAUGAUCUCACGGUCUGUGAGUUCAAGCCCCGCGUUGGGCUCUGUGCUGACAGCUCAGAGCCUGGAACCUGCUUCAUAUUCUGUGUCUCCCUCUCUCUCUGCUCCUCCCUGCUCACUCUCUCUCUCUCUAUUAAAAAUAAAUAAAUGCAUAAAAAAAUAAAUAAAAGUAAAGGGAUAGAGGAAGGUAACAGCAUACUACCACUAAUCAAAAGAAAGUGAGAAUAGGUAUAUUAAUUUCAGACAGAAAUUGAGAGUGAGGACAGUUACUAGGAAUAAAAAGGGGCAUUACAUAUGAUAAAGUGGUCAGUACUCCAAAAAGAUGUAACGAUCCUUAAUAUGUAUAAACCUAACAGAGUGUCAAAAUAUGUGAGGAAAACUGAUAGAGCAGCAAGUAUAAAUAGAUAAAUCCACUAUUAUUGGAGACUUUAAUACUCCUCUGUCAGAAUUGGACAGAUCCAGCAGGCAGAAAAUCAGUAAAGACCUAGUUGAAUCCAACAGAACUAUCAAUCAACUGGAUGUAAUUGACAUCUAUAGACUCCUUUAUCCAAUAGCAGCAAAUUACAUAUUCUUCUCAUGCUCACAUGAACAUUCAUCAAGAUGGACAUCAUUCUGGUUAUAAAACACACCUUAACAAGCUUAAAAGAACAGAUAAUACAAUAUCUGUUCACAGACCACAAUGAAAUUAAACUAGAAAUUAAUAACAUGAACAGAGUUGUAAAGUUCCCAUAUAUCUGGAGAUUAAAGAAGCAUAAGGUCUAAAAAACAGAUGGGUCAAGGAAGAAAUCUCAAGAGCAAUUGAAAAAUAUUUUGAAUUAAAUGAAAAUGAGUUUAUAGUUUACCAACAAAAGCAGUGCUUAGAAGGAAAUUUAUAGCAUGGAAUGAAUACGUUAGAAAACAAGAAAGUUCUAAAAUUAGCCAUUUAAGCUUCCAUUUUAGGAACUAGAAGAACAAAUUAAAUCUCAAGUAAGCAGAUGUGAAGAAACAGUAAGAACUAAAGCAGAAAUCAGUUAAAUUGAAAACAGGAAAUAAGAGAAAAUCAAUAAACCCAAAAGCUGGUUCUUGGAAGAGAUCAAUAAAAUCAAUAAGUCUCUAGGCAGGCUAACUAAGAAAAAGAGGAGGACACACAUUAGUGAUCAGGUAUGAAAGAGGGGACAUCACCACAGAUCCCAUCAAUAUUACUAUGAUAAACAAUUCCAUGAAGAACUCUAUGCCCACAGAUUUUAUAUCCUAGGUGAAGUGAAUCUACUGUUUGAAAGUCACAAUCUGCCAAAACUCACACCAGAAGAAAUAAAGUCUGAAUCAACCUA
Molecule: long non-coding RNA, 5017 nt
Organism: Neofelis nebulosa (Clouded leopard)
Lineage: Eukaryota; Metazoa; Chordata; Mammalia; Carnivora; Felidae
Exons: 2
Source: RefSeq, a predicted model, not a curated record